GUUCAAUUUGACUCAACACGGAUAACUCACCCGAUCAACACAUUGAAAAGAUCAUUAGAUCGAGAGCUCUUCUUUAAACCAAUGCUUGCUGCUGCAUCGCCGUUCCUAGUUGGAGGAGUGACUUGUUUAGUCAAUGCCAAUAAUGAACGAGACACUGCAAUAUUAAGUAGUGAAUAUCUGGGAAAACUAACAGUUAUUUCUUCAAAUACGAUGGCCAGGUUGUUAGACAGUGAACACGCUAAUGGUACAACAGCAUCCAGUUUGGGUUGACAAUAAGUGUCUGC
Molecule: non-coding RNA, 284 nt
Filed under: Soboliphyme baturini
Lineage: Eukaryota; Metazoa; Nematoda; Enoplea; Dioctophymatida; Soboliphymatidae
Description: Eukaryotic small subunit ribosomal RNA
Rfam family: Eukaryotic small subunit ribosomal RNA
Source: Rfam by way of RNAcentral